UCUGGGAAUUUGAUGCGUUGCUGCUUGGACA
Molecule: non-coding RNA, 31 nt
Filed under: Homo sapiens (human)
Lineage: Eukaryota; Metazoa; Chordata; Mammalia; Primates; Hominidae
Source: RNAcentral